CCCUUAGAUGUUCUGGGCUGCACGCGCGCUACACUGACGCACGCAACAGGUGCCUGCUCCGAGAGGACUGGGUAAUCAUUUGAGUGUGCGUCGUGAUGGGGAUAGAAUAUUGUAAUUAUUACUCUUCAACGAGGAAUUCCUAGUAAGCGCCAGUCAGCAGCUUGCGCUGAUUACGUCCCUGCCCUUUGUACACACCGCCCGUCGCUCCUACCGAUGGGUGAUCCGGUGAAUGAUUCGGACUUCAGCGGCUCCCCUUGGGUGCGCCGGAGAAAGUUUUGUGAACCUUAUCACUUGGAGGAAGGAGAAGUCGUAACA
This 315-nucleotide ribosomal RNA is filed under the name uncultured eukaryote. RNAcentral's name for it is "partial 18S ribosomal RNA". It matches the Rfam family "Eukaryotic small subunit ribosomal RNA", at positions 1470 to 1796 of the family's 1831-position model. The record is from RNAcentral.